GAGGAAUACAUCGGAAUCUACUUUUUCUUGGGGGAUAACGUAUGGAAACUUACGCUAAUACCGCAUACGACCUACGGGUGAAAGCAGGGGACCUUCGGGCCUUGCGCGAUUGAAUGAGCCGAUGUCGGAUUAUCUAGUUGGCGGGGUAAAGGCCCACCAAGGCGACGAUCCGUAUCUGGUCUGAGAGGAUGAUCACCCACACUGGAACUGAGACACGGUCAGACUCCUACGGGAGGCAGCAGUGGGGAAUAUUGGACAAUGGGCGCAAGCCUGAUCCAGCCAUACCGCGUGGGUGAAAAAGGCCUUCGGGUUGUAAAGCCCUUUUGUUGGGAAAGAAAUCCAGCUGGCUAAUACCCGGUUGGGAUGACGGUACCCAAAGAAUAAGCACCGGCUAACUUCGUGCCAGCAGCCGCGGUAAUACGAAGGGUGCAAGCGUUACUCGGAAUUACUGGGCGUAAAGCGUGCGUAGGUGGUCGUUUAAGUCCGUUGUGAAAGCCCUGGGCUCAACCUGGGAACUGCAGUGGAUACUGGGCGACUAUAGUGUGGUAGAGGGUAGCGGAAUUCCUGGUGUAUCAGUGAAAUGCGUAUAGAUCACGAGGAACAUCCAUGGCGAAGGCAGCUACCUGGACCAACACUGACACUGAGGCACGAAAGCGUGGGGAGCAAACAGGAUUAUAUACCCUGGUAGUCCACGC
Molecule: ribosomal RNA, 695 nt
Filed under: Stenotrophomonas maltophilia
Lineage: Bacteria; Pseudomonadati; Pseudomonadota; Gammaproteobacteria; Lysobacterales; Lysobacteraceae
Description: bacterial SSU rRNA
Rfam family: Bacterial small subunit ribosomal RNA
Source: RNAcentral